GACGAACGCUGGCGGCGUGCUUAACACAUGCAAGUCGAACGGAAAGGCCCUGCUUUUGUGGGGUGCUCGAGUGGCGAACGGGUGAGUAACACGUGAGUAACCUACCCUUGACUUUGGGAUAACUUCAGGAAACUGGGGCUAAUACCGGAUAGGAGCUCCUGCUGCAUGGUGGGGGUUGGAAAGUUUCGGCGGUUGGGGAUGGACUCGCGGCUUAUCAGCUUGUUGGUGGGGUAGUGGCUUACCAAGGCUUUGACGGGUAGCCGGCCUGAGAGGGUGACCGGCCACAUUGGGACUGAGAUACGGCCCAGCCUCCUACGGGAGGCAGCAGUGGGGAAUAUUGCACAAUGGGCGGAAGCCUGCUGCAGCACCGCCGCGUGCGGGAUGACGGCCUUCGGGUUGUAAACCGCUUUCGCCUGUGACGAAGCGUGAGUGACGGUAAUGGGUAAAGAAGCACCGGCUAACUACGUG
Molecule: ribosomal RNA, 468 nt
Filed under: uncultured bacterium
Lineage: Bacteria
Description: partial 16S ribosomal RNA
Rfam family: Bacterial small subunit ribosomal RNA
Source: RNAcentral